Long non-coding RNA from Lemur catta (Ring-tailed lemur), 153 nucleotides. RefSeq lists it as uncharacterized. The transcript is spliced from 3 exons. The record is from RefSeq and is a predicted model, not a curated record. NCBI's taxonomy places the organism in Eukaryota, Metazoa, Chordata, Mammalia, Primates, Lemuridae.
GUGACUUCUCGGGUGGAGGGACUGAGAAUAAGGACAUGAAGGUUGGGAAGAAAUGCAUUUGGCAGUUCAUGAGGAAUACAUUCAAAUCCAGGCAAGACGGCACUUAGGAAAACUGAUUCUGAUCAUUCCAAAGAGCCAUUUGUGUGAAACCAC